GAGGGACUGGCAGAAGGGUAAUGCGUAGCUCUCCUACCAUUGGACAAUGGAAAACCUAGACAGGUGGUCCGGGGACCAAGCUAAGCUAAGAUUGUGGGUUCGAGUCCCACGUUCCUCG
This is a transfer RNA of Paracoccidioides brasiliensis, 118 nucleotides long. It matches the Rfam family "tRNA". Rfam says of the family: Transfer RNA (tRNA) molecules are approximately 80 nucleotides in length. Their secondary structure includes four short double-helical elements and three loops (D, anti-codon, and T loops). The record is from Rfam. NCBI's taxonomy places the organism in Eukaryota, Fungi, Ascomycota, Eurotiomycetes, Onygenales, Ajellomycetaceae.